CCCUGGGCCUGCCACUGGCCCAGUAUGAAAAGAAACAUGGAUUCAAAAGCGUCUGCCAGUGCGGAGUAGUUAGUAGCUCGUGGAGACUCAGAGCUCAGAAAAUAAACCCAACCUGACGGACUGGGCCGAAUUUUAACUGCGGAAUCCCAGGCAAACCUCACAGCCUCCUCGGGCCUCAGAAGUAAAGAGACGGACCUCCCAGGCAGGAGGACUGAGGGCUAAUGUAAGGACACUCCACUGGGGCCCCUGCUGUGCGGGGGACAAGUUACAACUUACAACAUUAUUAAAUACUGUGGUCUUGGCUACGUUGGUGGUGUCUAGCUGAAGAGGCCCCGAGAACAGGUCAGAUCCAUUUCCGUAGGUUUUAUAGUGAACUACCUUCCAGGGUUGGCACAGGGUGACGUAAUGCAGCCAGGGGUCAGAAUUUAAGGAGACACUCACACUCAGGGCCUGUUCCUGUACUGGCACAAACCUGAGAAUCAGCGCCUCCUUAAAUCCGGCAGCCUGGACAAUGGCCUGCCUGGCCCCAUCUGGACCUGUGCCUUCCAGAGCUCAAACUCUCCUGCCAUGACUCUCCUCAAAU
This 583-nucleotide long non-coding RNA is filed under the name Marmota monax (woodchuck). The record is from RNAcentral. Lineage: Eukaryota; Metazoa; Chordata; Mammalia; Rodentia; Sciuridae.